UCUCCGUAGGUGAACCUGCGGAGGGAUCAUUACUGAGUGAGGGCCCUCGCGGUCCGACCUCCAACCCCAUGUUGUCCGACUCUGUUGCCUCGGGGGCGACCCGGCCUCACGGCUGCGGGCCCCCGGAGCCCAUCAAACCCUGCGUAACUAAGUCGUCGGAGUUUAAACAAAUUAAACAAAACUUUCAACAACGGAUCUCUUGGUUCGGGCAUCGAUGAAGAACGCAGC
This 228-nucleotide unclassified non-coding RNA is filed under the name uncultured fungus. RNAcentral's name for it is "sequence contains ITS1, 5.8S rRNA gene". The stretch from base 180 to 228 matches the Rfam family "5.8S ribosomal RNA", at positions 1 to 49 of the family's 154-position model. Lineage: Eukaryota; Fungi. The record is from RNAcentral.